Passer domesticus (house sparrow) is the source of this 501-nucleotide long non-coding RNA. RefSeq lists it as uncharacterized. NCBI's taxonomy places the organism in Eukaryota, Metazoa, Chordata, Aves, Passeriformes, Passeridae. The transcript has 4 exons. The record is from RefSeq and is a predicted model, not a curated record.
UUCUAGGGAGCUGGGAGAAGGGUUUUGUUUGGUGGGACUGUUUGUGAUGGGUGAGGUCCAGCUCCGAGCAGCGCCGCUCUCCACUACAGCAGUAAGUGUCUGAUGAUCCCAUGGGUGAUUCGGUGCCUUCACAGUGCCCUGGAAAGUGCCUGCUCUGCACCUCGGGCAGUUUGGUGGAGUUAGGCUGACUUCAGACAGGAUGAUCUUCUACGACUUUUCUGCGACUUCAAAAGAGGCCUCUGAAGGGAAGGACCAGGCCCGUCUUUGGCUUUUGACUCCGCAGACGGAACAUCCCUUUAAGGGGAAUCCUGUCCCAAAGAGUUCUCUGUGAAUACUGGACCAUCCUUUUUGAUGUGGUGUGAAAUCCAAGCUUGUAUCAACCACUGCCAUGUGCUGGUGUUUGAGCAGACAGAGAGAAGAGCUCAGCUCUCCAGAUCCAAAAAUAAAACCAGACAUACCCCACCCUCUCCAAGGUGUUUGGAUAGUCCAAAUCUUCAUGCA